GAAACAUCUUAGUACCCGGAGGAAGAGAAAGAAAAUUCGAUUCCCUUAGUAGCGGCGAGCGAAACGGGAAGAGCCCAAACCAACAAGCUUGCUUGUUGGGGUUGUAGGACACUCUAUACGGAGUUACAAAGGACGACAUUAGACGAAUCAUCUGGAAAGAUGAAUCAAAGAAGGUAAUAAUCCUGUAGUCGAAAAUGUUGUCUCUCUUGAGUGGAUCCUGAGUACGACGGAGCACGUGAAAUUCCGUCGGAAUCUGGGAGGACCAUCUCCUAAGGCUAAAUACUCUCUAGUGACCGAUAGUGAACCAGUACCGUGAGGGAAAGGUGAAAAGCACCCCGGAAGGGGAGUGAAAUAGAACCUGAAACCGUGUGCUUACAAGUAGUCAGAGCCCGUUAAUGGGUGAUGGCGUGCCUUUUGUAGAAUGAACCGGCGAGUUACGAUUUGAUGCAAGGUUAAGCAGUAAAUGUGGAGCCGUAGCGAAAGCGAGUCUGAAUAGGGCGUUUAGUAUUUGGUCGUAGACCCGAAACCAGGUGAUCUACCCUUGGUCAGGUUGAAGUUCAGGUAACACUGAAUGGAGGACCGAACCGACUUACGUUGAAAAGUGAGCGGAUGAACUGAGGGUAGCGGAGAAAUUCCAAUCGAACCUGGAGAUAGCUGGUUCUCUCCGAAAUAGCUUUAGGGCUAGCCUCAAGUGAUGAUUAUUGGAGGUAGAGCACUGUUUGGACGAGGGGCCCCUCUCGGGUUACCGAAUUCAGACAAACUCCGAAUGCCAAUUAAUUUAACUUGGGAGUCAGAACAUGGGUGAUAAGGUCCGUGUUCGAAAGGGAAACAGCCCAGACCACCAGCUAAGGUCCCAAAAUAUAUGUUAAGUGGAAAAGGAUGUGGCGUUGCCCAGACAACUAGGAUGUUGGCUUAGAAGCAGCCAUCAUUUAAAGAGUGCGUAAUAGCUCACUAGUCGAGUGACACUGCGCCGAAAAUGUACCGGGGCUAAACAUAUUACCGAAGCUGUGGAUUGUCCUUUGGACAAUGGUAGGAGAGCGUUCUAAGGGCGUUGAAGCAUGAUCGUAAGGACAUGUGGAGCGCUUAGAAGUGAGAAUGCCGGUGUGAGUAGCGAAAGACGGGUGAGAAUCCCGUCCACCGAUUG
This 1144-nucleotide ribosomal RNA is filed under the name Staphylococcus aureus. RNAcentral's name for it is "partial 23S ribosomal RNA". It matches the Rfam family "Bacterial large subunit ribosomal RNA", at positions 195 to 1343 of the family's 2925-position model. Lineage: Bacteria; Bacillati; Bacillota; Bacilli; Caryophanales; Staphylococcaceae. The record is from RNAcentral.